UUAAAUUAAUAAGGGCGUAUGGUGAAUGCCUUGGCAUUAGAAGCUGAAGAAGGACGUGGCAAACUACGAAAUGCUUCGGGGAGCUGUAAGCAAGCUUUGAUCCGGAGAUAUCCGAAUGAGGGAACUCACCAACAGUAAUACGUUGGUAUCACAUAAUGAACACAUAGUUAUGUAGAGAACAACCCUGUGAACUGAAACAUCUAAGUAACAGGAGGAAAAGAAAGAAAAAUCGAUUACCUUAGUAGUGGCGAGCGAAACGGUAAGAGCCCAAACCAAUCUAAGGAUUGGGGUUGUAGGACACUUUGUUAGGAGUUACAAAAUUGCUUGAUAGCAGAAUAUUCUGGAAAGGAUAGCUGGAAAACGUGAAAGCCGUGUAUGCGAAAUCAUGCAAUCUCUAAAGUGUAUCCUGAGUACGACGAUACACGAGAAAUUUUGUCGGAAUCCGCGGGGACCAUCCCGCAAGGCUAAAUACUUUCUAAUGACCGAUAGUGAACAAGUACCGUGAGGGAAAGGUGAAAAGAACCCCGGGAGGGGAGUGAAAUAGAAUACUGAAACCAUAUGCUUACAAAAAGUUCGAGCGCGUUAAUGCGUGAGAGCGUGCCUUUUGCAGAAUGAGCCGGCGAGUUAUGGUAUUGUGCAAGGUUAAGUGGAAAACACGGAGCCGAAGCGAAAGCGAGUCUUAAUAGGGCGAAUAAGUACAAUGCUGUAGACCCGAAACCGAGUGAUCUAGCCAUGAGCAGGCUGAAGUAAGGGUGAAACCUUAUGGAGGGCCGAACCAGGACACGUUGUAAAGUGUUUGGAUGACUUGUGGCUAGCGGUGAAAUUCCAAUCGAACUCGGAUAUAGCUGGUUCUCCCCGAAAUAGGUUUAGGCCUAGCCUUGAAUAAUUGCUACCUGGAGGUAGAGCACUGAAUGUGGAAUGGCUUCGUCUAGAGGUACUGACUGCAAUCAAUCUCCGAAUGCCAGGCAAGUAGAUUCAGGAGUCAGUGUAUGAGGUGAUAACGUCCAUACGCGAAAGGAAAUCAAUCCAGAUCAUCAACUAAGGUCCCAAAAUAUAUGUUAAGUGGGAAAGGAUGUGGAGACGCACGAACAGCUAGGAGGUUGGCUCAGAAGCAGCCAUCCUUUAAAGAGUGCGUAAUAGCUCACUAGUCGAGUGUCUCUGCGCCGAAAAUGUACCGGGGCUAAAACAUAUUACCGAAGUUAUGAAUUUAUAUUUAAUAUAGAUGGUAGGGGAGCGUUCUAAGGGCGCUGAAGGUAGACCGUGAGGACUACUGGAGCGCUUAGAAGUGAGAAUGCCGGUGUGAGUAACGCUAGGAGGGUGAGAAUCCCUCCCACCAAUUGACUAAGGGUUCCAGGGUACGGUUCGUCUUCCCUGGGUUAGUCAGGACCUAAGCCGAGGCCGAAAGGCGUAGGCGAUGGACAACAGGUUUAUAUUCCUGUACUGGCUAUAUGACUGAUGGAGCGACGGAGAAAGCAAGUAAGAGCCUAUUAUUGGAUUUAGGUCUAAGCACAAAGAGUGAUGCGUAAGUAAAUCUGCGACAUUAUUAAACUUGAAGUGCGAUGGCGAAGGGUCCCACGGGAACCAAAGUCUUAUGCAGCUAUGCUUCCAAGAAAAACUUCUAAAGAUAUCAUAUAGUUACCUGUACCAAGUACCGACACAGGUGGUCAAGGAGAGUAUCCUAAGGUGAGCGAGAUAACCAUGGGUUAAGGAACUCGGCAAAAUUGCCCUGUAACUUCGGGAUAAAGGGAGGUCUCUUCGGAGACCCACAGAAAAAAGGCCCAAGCAACUGUUUACCAAAAACAUAGGUCUCUGCUAAAGCGAAAGCUGAUGUAUAGGGGCUGACGCCUGCCCAGUGCUGGAAGGUUAAGAGGAUAGGUUAGAUGGACGCAAGUCGAUAACAUCAAAGCCUUGAAUUGAAGCCCCAGUGAACGGCGGCCGUAACUAUAACGGUCCUAAGGUAGCGAAAUUCCUUGUCAGGUAAGUUCUGACCC
Molecule: ribosomal RNA, 1991 nt
Filed under: human gut metagenome
Description: bacterial LSU rRNA
Rfam family: Bacterial large subunit ribosomal RNA
Source: RNAcentral